AGCGGCGGAUGGGUGAGUAACACGUGGGGAACCUGCCCCUAAGUCUGGGAUACCAUUUGGAAACAGGUGCUAAUACCGGAUAAUAAAGCAGAUCGCAUGAUCAGCUUUUGAAAGGCGGCGUAAGCUGUCGCUAAGGGAUGGCCCCGCGGUGCAUUAGCUAGUUGGCAAGGUAACGGCUUACCAAGGCGACGAUGCAUAGCCGAGUUGAGAGACUGAUCGGCCACAUUGGGACUGAGACACGGCCCAAACUCCUACGGGAGGCAGCAGUAGGGAAUCUUCCACAAUGGACGCAAGUCUGAUGGAGCAACGCCGCGUGAGUGAAGAAGGUUUUCGGAUCGUAAAGCUCUGUUGUUGGUGAAGAAGGAUAGAGGUAGUAACUGGCCUUUAUUUGACGGUAAUCAACCAGAAAGUCACGGCUAACUACGUGCCAGCAGCCGCGGUAAUACGUAGGUGGCAAGCGUUGUCCGGAUUUAUUGGGCGUAAAGCGAGCGCAGGCGGAAAAAUAAGUCUAAUGUGAAAGCCCUCGGCUUAACCGAGGAACUGCAUCGGAAACUGUUUUUCUUGAGUGCAGAAGAGGAGAGUGGAACUCCAUGUGUAGCGGUGGAAUGCGUAGAUAUAUGGAAGAACACCAGUGGCGAAGGCGGCUCUCUGGUCUGCAACUGACGCUGAGGCUCGAAAGCAUGGGUAGCGAACAGGAUUAGAUACCCUGGUAGUCCAUGCCGUAAACGAUGAGUGCUAAGUGU
This 743-nucleotide ribosomal RNA is filed under the name uncultured bacterium. Its description in RNAcentral is "bacterial SSU rRNA". It matches the Rfam family "Bacterial small subunit ribosomal RNA", at positions 94 to 823 of the family's 1533-position model. The record is from RNAcentral.